Molecule: RNA transcript, 1387 nt
Organism: Notechis scutatus (mainland tiger snake)
Lineage: Eukaryota; Metazoa; Chordata; Lepidosauria; Squamata; Elapidae
Gene: FAM174B
Gene name: family with sequence similarity 174 member B
Source: RefSeq, a predicted model, not a curated record
UGGACUAGAAGACCUCUAAGGUCUAAGAGGAGGAAUAAAAAAACCCGCAAAUAUGAUAUUAUCACGACUCCAGCAGAACGGGUGGAAAUGGCUCCCUUAAAUGAAGAGGAUGAUGAAGAUGAAGAUGCCACAGUGUUUGAUAUAAAAUAUAGGUGAGGUCGUUGACCAAACUUCUCGGGAACUUUGUCUCGUGUAGAAAAUGAGGCAAGAACUUUGGAACAAAGGAAAGAUGGCAAAUAAUCUUCUUUGGAUCCAUAACAUUUUGACCGUUUAAACAGAAAAGAGUGGAUGUCGGAUUUGACAUUUGGCCCAUUCCUAAUAAAUACAGCUGUUACGUUCCUGGAUGAAUGACAUGAUGAAUUGAAGAACCUCUUCUUCCUGAACUUCUUUCUCCUUCUAAAGACAAUCCUUCUGAUUCACCGUAGCUUCAGAUGCCACCAGCAAAUUAGAGAACUGAGGUCAGCCACCAGCGUUCAACAAUUCAGAAGCUGCCGAGACAUUCUUUGCUCAAAAUAUUAAAGGAGACAGAUGGAUUCUGAUUGCAUUCUGGGAUUGGUUCUGAGUUGGCUAAAAUGUUUGCUCUUCUUGUGUGCAACUGGAAUCUUGUAUUGGGUUGUGCUGAAAUUGUUCAGCACAGUUGUGUGCCUAUUUGUGUUGGAGGGGGGGAGAAUUUUGAUGGUUAACCCUUUCAGUAGACAGCUCUCAGGCCUCAGUAUUAACGAAGACCAGUGCGCUGCUGUAUUAAUUUACAGUAAGUUUUUACAGGGAGUUUCUCGCAAACUUUAUAUUCCCCCCCCCCCCAGAAGGUGAAUUCUGAUAGCAGGAAAAAACAAAACACAGUACUCAAUUUAGGAAGAAAGGGAUUAAAUCCCCUGUACCUCCUACCCUCGGGAGAACUGAUUUUUUUACAUAUGCGUUAUUUUGCUUUCUAUAGCCUCUCAUCAUUUAUUCAUUUCAAGGCAAUUAGCAAUCGGAUUACUGAUUCAGAAGAAGAGGUUUUGCCUUCGUGCCAGAGUAGUCCCAUCUGUUCUCCCCAGCAGAAACUUCCCCAACCUGUUUUCUCUCAAGAAAUGUUGGGAUUUUUGGGUUUUUUUACUGACUGGCAAUUAAGAAAGCUGAACCUCUGCAAAUCGAGUGUCUUCAGCUCCAAUCAUUUCAUCUUGGUUUGAACCUUUCAUAGCGGUGAACGUUUUUUUCCUUUUAAUUAUACCUAACAAAUAAAUAUAAGGCAAAGUAGAUGGUGGUUUUUUUCCUUCUUUCUCCAGGACAGUCAAAUGCUCCUUUAGCACUGCCGAUGAAAUGGCCCAUUUAACCUUACAACAUAUGACCAUAGAGCUGGAAGAGACCUUUGAGGUCUUCUAGUCCAACCCCCUGCUCAAGCAGGAGA